CGUAACGGUCGACGGUGACGUCAUGUGCAAUACCCUUUAUUUGCUGGUUGUGCAAUCAUUUUUCCAAUAUUUUUAGCUAAUAGCCUAAUCUUUAUUCACUGAGAAUAAUUAAGAAUUGUUUGUUUGAUGCUAAUUAUUUAAUGAGAUCACAUAUGUAUUUUAUUAUAGAAAUACAUUAGGCCUAUAGCAUAGAAAAUGUCCCCUUAUAAAAAGGGGGAAAAAUGCAUAUUCAUGUUUGAGAUGACAAUAAGAUAAUACUUUCGAACAUACACACACACACACACACUUACAUUGGCUACUUGCAGCCUGAGAGUUACAUCCGUUUUUGGAACCAAAAGUUGAAGUUAUCCGCUUACUUACUCUUAAACACACCCAGGUAUGUCACAUAACCUGCUUUCUGUAAAAAAAGUUAAAUUCACUAAAUGAAAUAAGUUCAUUUUACUUAAAACUUUAAAAAAGUUAAUUCAACUUAACACAUUUUGUGAUGUGAACUCAAAAAUGUAUUAUAUUAAGUAGAACUCAAACUAAAUAAGUCACUAUGUUAUUUUAACUUUAAUGGUUUAAGUUACAGAAAUUAAUUUAAUCUAGUAGCUUACCUCGUCUAUAAAUAAAUAACUAAAAGCUAUCAAAUAAACACACAAACAAUAAUAAAUACAUUGAUCUGUUUCAUAUUAAGCCUACAUUCAACCUUUUUAAAGUAAUUACAUGUAUUCAUGUCAAAGUAUUACCCAAGUGCGUUUCUAGGCAACAAAAAUCGCGCCGGCGCCAUUUUCCCUCCUUCAGUCGCAGCAGCAGGACGGGCUCACGCAACGGUCAAGAAAAAUAACAGAGCAAAGACGUUGAAAGGUGGUGUGAUAUCAACAUGGCUACAAUAAUAUGAGGCUGCAUUUUUUGGCUUUGAUGUAGG
Megalobrama amblycephala (Wuchang bream) is the source of this 907-nucleotide long non-coding RNA. RefSeq lists it as uncharacterized. NCBI's taxonomy places the organism in Eukaryota, Metazoa, Chordata, Actinopteri, Cypriniformes, Xenocyprididae. The transcript is spliced from 3 exons. The record is from RefSeq and is a predicted model, not a curated record.